This is a long non-coding RNA of Thalassophryne amazonica, 392 nucleotides long. RefSeq lists it as uncharacterized. The record is from RefSeq and is a predicted model, not a curated record. NCBI's taxonomy places the organism in Eukaryota, Metazoa, Chordata, Actinopteri, Batrachoidiformes, Batrachoididae. The transcript is spliced from 2 exons.
CUGUUUGAGAGAAGUUGCUGCUUUAAAGAGAAAAAUGAGUGGAAAAGGCAUCUAUUUAACAUUUUGGAGCUGCUGCUUUAAAGAGAUAAACAAGCGGAAAAGCCGUCAAUUUAAAGUGGUUUUGUUCUUUGAGGAGUCAUUUUUGUUUUUUCGCAUUGUCCAACGUUUGGUGAGAUUUUCUACAUUGCUGAACGGGACUUGGCUGUGUUUGUUUUGAGUGACAGCUGUGUCCAGGGUUCAAGGACACGUCAACAUGUAGACAUGAAUAUCCAGGAAUUAAACCAACAUCUUUUUGGUGAGUGGAACCUGUUCUCCAUUAUGUGAAAUACAUUUGGUUCAGUUCUUGAAAAAUGUCUCAUGUAACAAUGUUGAGGAACAGAAACAUGUCCAGA